RNAcentral lists this transfer RNA (73 nucleotides) under Vicugna pacos (alpaca). Its description in RNAcentral is "tRNA-Ala (AGC) (tRNA-Ala-AGC-306-1)". It matches the Rfam family "tRNA". From Rfam's summary of the family: Transfer RNA (tRNA) molecules are approximately 80 nucleotides in length. The record is from RNAcentral. Lineage: Eukaryota; Metazoa; Chordata; Mammalia; Artiodactyla; Camelidae.
GGAGGGUAUAGCUCAGGGGUAGAGCAUGUGCUUAGCAUGCACAAGGUCCUGGGUUCAAUCCCCAGUGCCUCCA